AAACGUUUUCUGCGUCUUGAGUUGAUCAAAAUCCCCUGGAAUGGGGUAUCAUGGAGGGUGACAAUCCCGUUCAUGGUUAAUUCUCGGACGCUUUAUGAUACGUUUUCGAAGAGUCGAGUUGUUUGGGAUUGCAGCUCAAAAUGGGAGGUAAAUUUCUCCUAAAGCUAAAUAUUGGCGAGAGACCGAUAGCGAACAAGUACCGUGAGGGAAAGAUGAAAAGAACUUUGAAAAGAGAGUUAAAUAGUACGUGAAAUUGUUGAAAGGGAAACGAUUGAAGUCAGUCGUACCAACGGGAAAUCAACCUUUCGAGCGGGGUUUUGGGAUUUCAAAGAGUUUCAAAGCCUUUGGGGUUUCAAAAUUUCUUCUCUUCUGGUGUACUUUCUCGUAGGUAGGUCAACAUCGAUUUUGAACAUCAUAAAAAGACUGAAGGAAUGUAGCUUCGAUCUCGUAUUGAAGUGUUAUAGACUUUGGUAAAUGUGAUGAUCAAGAUCGAGGAUUGCAACGAAUAUCCUUUUGGGCUAUUCGUCUGAUCUCUGAUCGUUGCCUUGGUAUCGAAAGCUUGC
Molecule: ribosomal RNA, 563 nt
Filed under: uncultured Glomus
Lineage: Eukaryota; Fungi; Glomeromycota; Glomeromycetes; Glomerales; Glomeraceae
Description: partial large subunit ribosomal RNA
Rfam family: Eukaryotic large subunit ribosomal RNA
Source: RNAcentral